GAAGAUCGUCGGUGAGGAGAGUGGCGGUGACUUGGGCGUGGUGUUGAUCAGACGGCUGAGAAAGAUCGUCAAUGAAGUGAGACUCAGGCAAUCCAACAGGUGAAAAAUCAGGAUGAUCAUCAUCAUGCGGUGGAGAUGAAACACUGUGGGAGUGUGAAGGUACUGGGAUUAUUCCUUCACCGUCUGCGGGCGAUCCAACAGGUGAAAAAUCAGGAUGAUCAUCAUCAUGCGGUGGAGAUGAAACACUGUGGGAGUGUGAAGGUACUGGGAUUAGUCCUUCACCGUCUGCUUCCAUUUUUGUUAAGAGGAGAGAGAGGAGAGAAGUUAUUUGGAAAACUAAAAGGUCAAAGGAGAAAAUCCAUUAUUCAUCUUCUUCUCCGUCCACCAUGGUUUCCUUGUUAUUCUUCUUCUCCUGAAUCUCUCGUAAGAACGCCCUGGUAAUCGGCAUUAUUCUUCUUCUUCUCCGUCCUUAGUUUCCUUGUUAUUCUUCUUCUCCUGAAUCUCUCGAAAGAAUGUCCUGGUAAUCGGCAAGUAUAUAUGGAAAGAUGAAUUCAGACGAAAGGAUUUUUUUUUCCUUUUUCUUUUUUCACUUUUUUUUCCCCCUUUCUUACUUUGGUUACUCAAAGUGAAUCAUUUAGUCCAUUUUUCAGUCAAUUUAGUUCAGCU
This 666-nucleotide long non-coding RNA is filed under the name Nicotiana benthamiana. RNAcentral's name for it is "long non-coding RNA (NBEN_LNC021632)". Lineage: Eukaryota; Viridiplantae; Streptophyta; Magnoliopsida; Solanales; Solanaceae. The record is from RNAcentral.